GCAUAUUAGAAUAUAAAACACUAUCUCAUAGUGUCCCAUGCCAGAGCAAACUGUGUCCCCGAACCAUUGCCUGGCCUGUGCCCGUAGGCUGCUGGCACUGAAGUUGGCUGCAUGGUG
This 117-nucleotide small nucleolar RNA is filed under the name Microcebus murinus (gray mouse lemur). RNAcentral's name for it is "Small nucleolar RNA SNORA42/SNORA80 family (ENSMICG00000020698.3)". It matches the Rfam family "Small nucleolar RNA SNORA42/SNORA80 family". From Rfam's summary of the family: The members of this family belong to the H/ACA class of snoRNAs that guide the sites of modification of uridines to pseudouridines. Lineage: Eukaryota; Metazoa; Chordata; Mammalia; Primates; Cheirogaleidae. The record is from Rfam by way of RNAcentral.